UUGGCGGGGUAACGGACCACCAAGGCGGUGACGGGUAGCUGGUCUGAGAGGAUGGCCAGACACAUUGGGACUGAGAGACGGCCCAGACUCCUACGGGAGGCAGCAGUGGGGAAUCUUGCGCAAUGGGAGCCAUCCUGACGCAGCGACGCCGC
This 152-nucleotide ribosomal RNA is filed under the name uncultured Gemmatimonadota bacterium. Its description in RNAcentral is "uncultured Gemmatimonadetes bacterium partial 16S ribosomal RNA". It matches the Rfam family "Bacterial small subunit ribosomal RNA", at positions 249 to 400 of the family's 1533-position model. Lineage: Bacteria; Pseudomonadati; Gemmatimonadota. The record is from RNAcentral.